This 301-nucleotide ribosomal RNA is filed under the name uncultured bacterium. Its description in RNAcentral is "partial 16S ribosomal RNA". It matches the Rfam family "Bacterial small subunit ribosomal RNA", at positions 509 to 809 of the family's 1533-position model. The record is from RNAcentral.
CAGUAGCCACGGGAAUACGGAGGAUCCAAGCGUUAUCCGGAAUCAUUGGGUUUAAAGGGUCCGUAGGCGGUCUUGUAAGUCAGUGGUGAAAGCCCAUCGCUCAACGGUGGAACGGCCAUUGAUACUGCAGGACUUGAAUUAUUGGGAAGUAACUAGAAUAUGUAGUGUAGCGGUGAAAUGCUUAGAGAUUACAUGGAAUACCAAUUGCGAAGGCAGGUUACUACCAAUUGAUUGACGCUGAUGGACGAAAGCGUGGGUAGCGAACAGGAUUAGAUACCCGCGUAGUCCCUGUCUCUUAUAA